CCUUACCAUAUUGGUAUUGUGUAAUUCCUUAUAUAAAUGGCUCAUAUCAAUGAAUAAGAUGAUGAUUCUCUUGCUAUCUCUUUGUCUCUACACUUUAUCCUUCAUCAUUGUCCAAUUACAUGUGCAAUAAAUGAACUUUUUUUAUUAGGUUGAAGGCAACCUUUUUUUUUUUUUUUUUUGUAGGAAAAGGCAAUAAUGUUUGAGAAAGAAGUAUGCUCUUCUUUGUAUCCAAAAGGGGAAAAUACUAGAGAUUUGUCUACCGGUCGUAAGCAACUAAUGAAUGAUCUUAGGAACAUAGAAAUUCCCAAUUUGGAGAUCAUUUUAGGUUCCAUAAUCACAAUUUACACUUCUCCCAAUGAACCUAGCACAGGUAUUUGGCGCAGACAUCAUUU
Molecule: long non-coding RNA, 392 nt
Filed under: Fragaria vesca (wild strawberry)
Lineage: Eukaryota; Viridiplantae; Streptophyta; Magnoliopsida; Rosales; Rosaceae
Description: long non-coding RNA (FVES_LNC000432)
Source: RNAcentral